UACAGAGGUCUCAAGCGUUGUUCGGAAUCACUGGGCGUAAAGGGUGCGUAGGUGGCGUGGCAAGUCAGAUGUGAAAGCCCGGAGCUCAACUUCGGAACUGCAUCCGAUACUGCCAUGCUAGAGCACUGAAGAGGUGACCGGAAUUCUCGGUGUAGCAGUGAAAUGCGUAGAUAUCGAGAGGAACACCAAAGGCGAAGGCAGGUCACUGGGCAGUUGCUGACACUGAGGCACGAAGGCCAGGGUAGCGAAC
Molecule: ribosomal RNA, 250 nt
Filed under: uncultured bacterium
Lineage: Bacteria
Description: partial 16S ribosomal RNA
Rfam family: Bacterial small subunit ribosomal RNA
Source: RNAcentral